Long non-coding RNA from Tribolium castaneum (red flour beetle), 3024 nucleotides. RefSeq lists it as uncharacterized. The transcript has 3 exons. The record is from RefSeq and is a predicted model, not a curated record. Lineage: Eukaryota; Metazoa; Arthropoda; Insecta; Coleoptera; Tenebrionidae.
CUUUGUUCCUCAAAGAAUUGUAUCAACUUUAAAUAACAGAGCCAUAAAAUAUCUGUUAAGUGGAAAAGGUUCCGUAAUAAUUUACUUAGGGAAAAAAAUACGGGACAGGUGAACUGGGCUAAUAUUGUCGAGUUUAAAAAGAUCACAUAAUUAUGUCUGCUUCCCCGUUAACAACAUUAUCAUCAUCAUCAUCACCACCACCUCCAUCACCAUCAACAUCAGCUUCUUCUUCGACGUCGACUUUCGCAUUAUCAUCUAUAAACUUAGAGAAAUUUAUUGAAAUUCUACGAUGUCCAAAAAAAUAUAAAUUUUUUUUGCAAAACGCUAUUUCCGAUUAUGAUUAUAAAACCUUUAAAAAUUCUAUUAGAAACAAGGAAAAAAUUUUAGAAAAUAAUCAACAACAAGCAAUAAGUUUAGGAGAGAAAAAAAAAUAUGAAUACUACAUUUCAAGAGUAAAAACUUUAUUCACGCAUUUUCAAGAAAAAAUAUCCUCUUCAACAAAAUAUGGAAAAGGUUUACAACAAGAUAUACGUCAGAAAAUUUCCUUUGUUAAAAUUUCAUCAGCUUUUAAUAAUCGGCUACGAACUUAUUUAAUCAGCAAUAAUUAUUACAUAGAACCGAAAUAUUUUUUUGAACAUUGCAAGAAAAUUCUAAUUAUCAAAUUUGAAAAAAUUUUACGAAAAUUAGGAGCUUUUAAGAUUAACAUUAUAUUAAAUUGUAUUUAUCAAUUUAAAGUAACUAAAGAACAUGCCUUUCGAAGUUUUAACACCCAGAAUCAAUCAGUCUUUCACUCUGAAGAAAUUCCUUCAAUUUUAGAAAAUUUAUUUGAUGCUCUAUUAAAUCAGAUGGAUGAUUUCACUGAAAAUAAGUCUGGUGAAGCUUGAGAAAGUAUUGAAAAUUUCCAUAAACAAAUUAUCGAUAUUUAAUAUAUCGCAAAAUGAAGAAGAAGAUACCACCUCUCAUUCUAGUGACUCUGGGGGAACAUACAUUCCUCUUCCUAUUGAGCUGAAAGGAAAAGGUUCUUGUUUUAUUAAUAUUUUUAAUAAGGAUAAUUAUUGUUUUGUUUAUUCUAUCUUGGCUGCACUUUUUCCUGUUAAUCACUCUAAAUAUGAGAGAGUUGAAUCUUAUCCUAGUAAUGUUCAUGAAAUUUUAAACUUAAUAAAUAUUGAAAUGCCUGUUAAAAUAAAAGAUAUUUCCAAAUUUGAAAAACAGAAUCCUACUAUUUCUAUUAAUGUAUUUAAAUUCAACGGAAAAACUCGACAAAUUGACGGUUCUAUUUAUCAUACAAAAAAUGUAAAAGAAAAACAUAUAAAUUUAUUAUAUUUAACUAAAAAUAAUAUUAACACUAAUGGUCAUUAUUGCUUAAUUACUAAUCUUUCAAAAGCAUGUGGAAGCAGCAUAAGUAAAAAUGAGCAUCAAAUAUUUUGUUGUGAUCGUUGUUUACAACAUAUUCCUUCGAAAUCAAAAGAUAAAAUUGAUAGACAUAAACGGGAUUGUUCAACAUUUCCUGCAGUUAAAACACGCUUACCUGAACCGAAUUCUCCAGAAAGUCUUUUACAUUUUUCACAGUUUAAAUCAUUGCUACGUUUACCAUUUGUUAUAUAUGCAGACUUAUGUUCUUUUGAUAGUAAAUUAGAUAGUUUUAAGACUUAUAGAGGAGUGGUUUAUUUCAGAAUUAAAAGAAAGUUGCAAAUUUGUAAAUAAAAUAUUGUUAAAACAAAAGAAAAUACUAAAUAAACCAUUAUCAGAAUUAGAAAAAGAGUUACAUGAAACAACUAAUAAUUGUAAUUUAUGUGGUUGCAACUUUACAGAUAAUAAUAAAAAAGUUAUACAUCAUAACAUUCAUAACCAUUUAACUGGUGAAUUUAUUUCUACAAUAUGCAAUAAUUGUAAUUUACAAAUUCAAUUUUCAAAUAAGUUGCCAGUUUUUUUACAUAAUUUGUCUGGAUAUGACGCUCACCUUUUUUUUUACAGAAUUUAUUAAUAAUUUUUCAAAUACUGAAAUAAACCAUUCAAUCAUGAAAAUUAUAUUUCAUUUUCAGGAAUACAUUGUAACAUGAAAAUUACGUUUUUAGAUUCUUUUCGCUUUCUACCUACAUCAUUUGAUAAACUUGUAUCUUUUUUAAAGCCAAAUCAGUUUUCUCUUAUGAAAGCUUUUUUCCCCAAUGUUACAGAUGAUGUUUUUCAAUUAUUAUUGAAAAAAGGAGUAUUUCCGUAUGAUUAUAUCACUUCCUCAUCUGUCUUCGAAGAUACCCAAUUACCAACAAAACCACAAUUUUUCAAUCGAAUGACAAAUAAACAUAUUUCAGAUAAAGAUUAUUUUCAUGCACAGAAUGUUUGGGAAAAAUUUGGAAUUAAAACUUUAGGAGAAUACUCCGAUUUAUAUUUAAAAUGUGAUGUAAUUCAAUUAGCUGAUGUUUUCGAAAAUUUUCGCGACUUAACAAUGAAAUAUUACCAACUUGAUGCUGCAUCCUUCUAUACUAGUCCAGGCCUUUCAUGGGCAACUGCUUUAAAAAUCACAAAAGUUAAACUUGAAUUGUUUACCGAUAGUGAAAUGUUUUUGUUUAUCGAAAAAUCAAUACGCGGAGGAAUUACUCAAGCGGUACAUAGAUAUGCUGAAUGUAAUAAUACACAUUAUUCAAAAACAUAUGAUCCUGCAACACCUAUAGAUUAUCUUUUUUAUAUUGAUGCUAACAAUUUAUAUGGCUGAGCUUUAAGUCAAAAGUUACCUAUUGGAAAUUUUCAUUGGUUAUCAAUAAAUGAUAUUAAUGAAAUUUUCGCUGAGCCUCAAAAAUUAAAUACUAAUGAUAACAAAGAAUUUAUUUUAGAAGUUGACUUAUAUUAUGAUAAAAGUAUACACGAUGAACAUGAUGAUUUUCCUUUUUGUCCUGAACCUCUCUCUUAUUCUAUGGCUCUGAGAAAAGAAGCAUAAACAUGGGUCUAGUGUUUCAAAAUCAAUAUAAAAAAUUAUCCAAUCCAUCAAAUUAUCAGUCAGUAUCUUGUCGCCAGUCGACAUUAUCACAU